CUUGCUACCUUACCUAGCGGCGGACGGGUGAGUAAUGCUUAGGAAUCUGCCUAUUAGUGGGGGACAACAUUCCGAAAGGAAUGCUAAUACCGCAUACGCCCUACGGGGGAAAGCAGGGGAUCUUCGGACCUUGCGCUAAUAGAUGAGCCUAAGUCAGAUUAGCUAGUUGGUGGGGUAAAGGCCUACCAAGGCGACGAUCUGUAGCGGGUCUGAGAGGAUGAUCCGCCACACUGGGACUGAGACACGGCCCAGACUCCUACGGGAGGCAGCAGUGGGGAAUAUUGGACAAUGGGCGAAAGCCUGAUCCAGCCAUGCCGCGUGUGUGAAGAAGGCCUUUUGGUUGUAAAGCACUUUAAGCGAGGAGGAGGCUACUUGGAUUAAUACUCUAGGAUAGUGGACGUUACUCGCAGAAUAAGCACCGGCUAACUCUGUGCCAGCAGCCGCGGUAAUACAGAGGGUGCGAGCGUUAAUCGGAUUUACUGGGCGUAAAGCGUGCGUAGGCGGCUUUUUAAGUCGGAUGUGAAAUCCCUGAGCUUAACUUAGGAAUUGCAUUCGAUACUGGGAAGCUAG
RNAcentral lists this ribosomal RNA (570 nucleotides) under bacterium RBM-A16. RNAcentral's name for it is "bacterial SSU rRNA". It matches the Rfam family "Bacterial small subunit ribosomal RNA", at positions 79 to 644 of the family's 1533-position model. The record is from RNAcentral.